RNAcentral lists this ribosomal RNA (428 nucleotides) under Reticulitermes flavipes (eastern subterranean termite). RNAcentral's name for it is "partial 16S ribosomal RNA". The stretch from base 1 to 214 matches the Rfam family "Archaeal large subunit ribosomal RNA", at positions 1889 to 2143 of the family's 2987-position model. The record is from RNAcentral. Lineage: Eukaryota; Metazoa; Arthropoda; Insecta; Blattodea; Rhinotermitidae.
CGCCUGUUUAUCAAAAACAUCUCUUCUCGUUAGUUUUUGAAGUAUGGCCUGCCCACUGACCUUGAAUGUUGAAGGGCCGCGGUAUUUUGACCGUGCAAAGGUAGCAUAGUCAUUAGUUCUUUAAUUGUGAUCUGGUAUGAAUGGCUUGACGAGGUAUAAGCUGUCUUAAUUUUGAAUUGUUUAUUGAAUUUGUUCUUUGAGUUAAAAUUCUUAGAUGUUUUUAUGGGACGAGAAGACCCUAUAGAGUUUGACAUUUAUUAUGGUCUUUUUCUGUUUGUGAGGGUUCACUAGGGCUGUUUAAUAUGUUUUGUUGGGGUGAUGGGAGGGAUAUUAUUUAACCCCUCCUUUGUGUUGUUAUAUUUAUUUAUAUUUGCUUGAUCCAUUUAUUUUGAUUGUAAGAUUAAAUUACCUUAGGGAUAACAGCGUAA